RNAcentral lists this long non-coding RNA (313 nucleotides) under Androctonus crassicauda. Lineage: Eukaryota; Metazoa; Arthropoda; Arachnida; Scorpiones; Buthidae. The record is from RNAcentral.
UAAUAAUGCAAUGACAUUAUCAUAGUAGUGACAUUAUUCAUUGUUAUGUCAUGGAAUGGAAAAGUUUUAGGACAUCGUACAUUGAUAUAUUACCAAUUAUGUUAUAUCAGUGUAACUGUGAUGUCAUUCUGAAUUUGAACAUCAUUCUGAAAGAUAUAAAUGAAAUCAUUUCAUUGCCACCUCAAAAUGCCCAUUCCUCUAGGGCAGUGGUCUCAAACUGGUGGCUUGUGGGCUGUAUCUGGCCAACAAAGCAAUUCUUUACAAUCUGUGAAGAUAUUUCAGCUAUUUGUUUAAGUGCAUGCUACACUCGGAC